Molecule: long non-coding RNA, 305 nt
Filed under: Elaeis guineensis (African oil palm)
Lineage: Eukaryota; Viridiplantae; Streptophyta; Magnoliopsida; Arecales; Arecaceae
Description: long non-coding RNA (EGUI_LNC061558)
Source: RNAcentral
GGCUCCUACGGGAGCCGGUCUUCUUCCCCGAACAGGUAGACUUCGUCCGAGCUCUUACGAGAGCCGGACUUUCACCCUGAACUCCUGUUGCAGGUAGACCUCAUCCAAACUCCUACAAGGGCCGGACUCCGAGCUUCUACUACAAACGCUCUACUUUAAAUUUCUACUACGAGCAGUCCGCAUCGGAUUCCCACUGUAAGCCUUCACCCGAGCUUCCAUUGUGGAUGAAUUCCUUCCAAAUUUCUAUUGCAGGCGGCUUCGACCGAGAUUCCUCGACAAAUGAUCCCCAUCCGGGCUUCUACGGA